RNAcentral lists this ribosomal RNA (592 nucleotides) under uncultured bacterium. RNAcentral describes it as "bacterial SSU rRNA". The stretch from base 1 to 517 matches the Rfam family "Bacterial small subunit ribosomal RNA", at positions 338 to 873 of the family's 1533-position model. The record is from RNAcentral.
CCUACGGGAGGCAGCAGUGGGGAAUAUUGCGCAAUGGGCGAAAGCCUGACGCAGCGACGCCGCGUGAGGGAUGAAGGCCUUCGGGUUGUAAACCUCUUUCAGCAGGGACGAAUUCAGACGGUACCUGCAGAAGAAGCACCGGCCAACUACGUGCCAGCAGCCGCGGUAAUACGUAGGGUGCAAGCGUUGUCCGGAAUUAUUGGGCGUAAAGAGCUCGUAGGCGGUUUGUCGCGUCGGCUGUGAAAACUCGGGGCUCAACCCCGAGCCUGCAGUCGAUACGGGCAGACUAGAGUGCUGUAGGGGAGACUGGAAUUCCUGGUGUAGCGGUGAAAUGCGCAGAUAUCAGGAGGAACACCGGUGGCGAAGGCGGGUCUCUGGGCAGUAACUGACGCUGAGGAGCGAAAGCGUGGGGAGCAAACAGGAUUAGAUACCCUGGUAGUCCACGCCGUAAACGGUGGGUGCUAGGUGUAGGUCGUAUUCCACGCGAUCUGUGCGCNGCUACGCAUAGCNCCCCGCCGUGGGAGGACGGCCGCGAGACGAACUACAANAGAGUGACGCGNGAGACGUGCCGAGGACGACGACGAGGGAGAGG